UACUAAGUGACUUUUAAAUUCCAACU
Molecule: non-coding RNA, 26 nt
Filed under: Cricetulus griseus (Chinese hamster)
Lineage: Eukaryota; Metazoa; Chordata; Mammalia; Rodentia; Cricetidae
Source: RNAcentral